Molecule: non-coding RNA, 1219 nt
Organism: Oryctolagus cuniculus (rabbit)
Lineage: Eukaryota; Metazoa; Chordata; Mammalia; Lagomorpha; Leporidae
Source: RefSeq, a predicted model, not a curated record
ACUACUUUCCCAGUAGAAGUUUUAUUGAUGUAUUAAAUAGUGGUCACUAUCUCUGAUUUAUGGAAAGUGGUUCUCAAAUGUUUAUAGAGUCUGAGAGAAGUUUUCUGAACAAUUCGAGUUUCUACUUUCCUGCACAGGCUUCUCAGUUCUUUGUUCUCACUGUCUUAGCUUGAAAAAUCAUGUUUAUUCUGAAAGUGAACUUUCCUGGUCUAAGUAAAAAAUUUGCCAAUAUUAUCUUGAUUAUAAGACAUAUAAAAGACACAAGUUAUAAAAUACUAAGUUUUAAAGGCAUUUUAUCAAUAUCUGCUCAUUUUUAGAAUAUCACAACCCAGCCAGCAAAGCUGAAGUAAAUUAUUCAAAUUAAAAAGCAAUGUAAUUGUCUGUUUUAAAAAAUGUAUUUCUAAACCUGAAUUUUACUCUACUAAUGGCAUUUACUAAAAUCCUUCUCUUGAGUCUUAGGUCUUGGAAGAUAAUUUGUUUAAAGAUCUCACCACGUGGAAUUGUCCAAUAUGAAGAAUGGUGCUGAGUACUACAGUUCACAUAGAGAUGUUGUCAUGUGUCUGUUCAUCUGGAAGACCUGCUACUGGCUGAUCCGUUUUCUGUUUACUAACAUGGACUAGCAAGAACCAAGUCCUCCAAAUAACUUUUUAAAAAUAACUUUUUAGCAGCAUGAUUCUAAGAUGACACAGUAAGAAAUACAGAAAUCUUUCUUCUCACUUUGACAACAAUUGUACAGGCAGAAUUAGCCUGGUGUGACUACUUCAGAACUCAAGACUGUGAAGAGCUUUCACUUUCCAAGCUACUGUAAGAAAUCACCACCAAUCAAGGGGCUGAAAAGAACAAAAACUGCUUCCCUCGCUGUGCUGGAGGUCAGGAUCUCAAUACUGAGGUCUUGGGACAGAUGAAUCUGCGAAGCUCUGGGAAAGCAUCUAUUCCAUGCCACUCUCCUAGACCCUGAGGGCUAUGAGCUAGCCAUGGGAUUUCUCGGUUUGCAGCUAUACCACUGCGAUCUCUUUCUCCAUUUUCAAAGCAGCUUCUCUUUUCCUCUGUGCUUUACCUGAUCUAUCGGCCCCCAGUCAUUUUUUUCCAAAUAAAGUGACAUUCACAGAAUCCAAGUAUUUGUAUUUGGAGAUAAAUAUAAACACCCCCAUCUAAUAAUCUAAACAUUUGAUUCAAUAGAUUAUGAUAGCACUAUUUUUAAAAUAUAAAUUAGGUGUUU